AUUGAACGCUGGCGGCAGGCCUAACACAUGCAAGUCGAACGAGGGGGGGACGGGAGAGUAAUGUCGGGGAAACAGCCUGAUGGAGGGGGAUAACUCGUGGAAACGGUAGAUAAUACCGCAUAGCAGUGGAUGAGACCAGGUGGGAUUAGCUAGUAGGUGGGGUAACGGCUCACCGAGGCGACGAUCCCUAGCUGGUCUGAGAGGGUGACCAGCCACACUGGAACUGAGACACGGUCCAGACUCCUACGGGAGGCAGCAGUGGGGAAUAUUGCACAAUGGGCGCAAGCCUGAUGCAGCCACGCCGCGUGUGUGAUGAAGGCCUUCGGGUUGUAAAGCACUUUCAGCGGGGAGGCGUUACCCGCAGAAGAAGCCCCGGCUAACUCCGUGCCAGCAGCCGCGGUAAUAC
RNAcentral lists this ribosomal RNA (406 nucleotides) under uncultured bacterium. RNAcentral describes it as "partial 16S ribosomal RNA". It matches the Rfam family "Bacterial small subunit ribosomal RNA", at positions 29 to 526 of the family's 1533-position model. The record is from RNAcentral.